GCCAGCGAAAGACACGCGCUCGACUUAGCAAGAUAGGGGCUAGACAAACCACGGUGAGGAAAACGGCACCUACAAGUCUUCCCAGACAGCUGUCUGCAGUUGAAAUUGAACGGCUUGCAGUAAACUUCUUGGAGGAGAAUUGGCAUUGCAAGGGUGUUACUGGAGACCUCGGCAAGAAAGUGAAUGCAAAGACAGAUGACCCAGGAACCCGUGAUGGAUAAGGCUCUUGACAGCCAGGACGUGGAAUUACAGGGGGUCUCUUUGAGAGACAAAAUAAAAAAAAUAGCCCAGUAAUCUUCCUUCCACCCUUUUCUCCCAGAUCUAAUUACAGAUGUCUUGACAUUCCUUCUGCAUAGAAUUUCCUUAAAAGAUUUGCCAAGAAGAAACAUUUGGAAACUGUGUUUUAGGUAUAAUCCGUCUGGGAGUCACUCUUGCUCGCUUUGUCGUUAGAUGACAAAACGCUUAAUUACAGCGAGCACAAUGUAUACCACAUUUGGAAAACUGGAUUCUUGACCUAAAUAAUGUACCCCAUACUGACAAUGGCCUUUUGGCAAAACUUGUGUCUCUGAUCUCACAUUAAUUACUACACAAAUAUACUUAUUGUGGGCACCGAGUUUAUGGGAUGGAGUCCUCUUGACACAUGUUCACCAUAAAAACACAUUUUUUUCCCUUCCCCUGACCCUAAGGAAAAGAAAAAAAAAAAGAUUAACAUUUUUCAAGAUGCUGUUUUAGUGACAUGAAAACUGUCUGUUGAGUGUUCACUCGGCUUUUGUUCUUUUUCUUUUCUCCUUUUAUUAAAAAGCCUUUCAAACCAAGCAUUCCUGGUUUGUGAUUCUUUACUUUUGCUUUUAUGCUGAGGGAGAGACAGAUUAGAUUAGAUUAAAGACCAAGGGACACCUCGUGAAAUACAUUCCAUCUAGAGGCAAUUUGGUUGAGAGGGCCAAUUGUGUGUGUGUGUGCCUGUGUGCGUGCAGGCGUGCGUGUUUCUCCUUGUGGCAUACUGGUGGUCUUUUUACAGAUACAGAGUUCUGGUUUUUGGAAAUGCGUUUAUUCCUUUAGCCUUUUUCCCUUCAGAAGCCUGCAGCCUUUGAUUGUGGCCUGACUUUUAGGGGUCUGCGGCAUUUUGGGGGGUAGUAAAUCUUAUUAACUCUUCCCUUUAGUGUCUCGCCAUUCUCAAAAACUUUUACAAAAAGCAGCAACACCGCCCUCACCAAAGACAGAUGAAAGGAGCGGUUUCAAAG
RNAcentral lists this long non-coding RNA (1241 nucleotides) under Homo sapiens (human). Its description in RNAcentral is "HSALNT0195323". Lineage: Eukaryota; Metazoa; Chordata; Mammalia; Primates; Hominidae. The record is from RNAcentral.